Molecule: long non-coding RNA, 25508 nt
Filed under: Chlamydomonas reinhardtii
Lineage: Eukaryota; Viridiplantae; Chlorophyta; Chlorophyceae; Chlamydomonadales; Chlamydomonadaceae
Description: long non-coding RNA (CREI_LNC000574)
Source: RNAcentral
GAUCCUGACCUUCCGGCUGCUCACGCCCGCCACACCCUGGAGCACCACCACGCACCGCCUCAUGCCGCCCGCCUUUCGUGCCGCCGUGCGCACACUGCUGCUAGCGGCGGCGGGCGCAGGCGCCGGCUCACCGUCACCGUCCACCGGCGCAGCCGGUGUGGAGCCGGGCGCGGGCGCGGGCGCAGCGGCGGGGCCCUCGGCUCGGCCCACGGCUCUGUCAAGCCUGCCGCAUGACGCCAUUGAGCAUAUCAUUGCGGAGGCUGCGGCGCCGCGGGUGGCGUGGGCGCUCUGCGAGGCGCGGGAGGUGCUGGCGUUCCCCACGCUGGACAUCUGGGCCGAGCAGCCGCACCAGCGGCAGCGGGAGGCGGGUGAGCAGGUGGUGGAGCAGACGGAUGAGGAGGCUGGGGGCAGUGCCGGAGCUGGGGCCGGGCCCAGCGGGAGCGGGAGCGGGGGUGCGGGGGCAGGGCGCGUGGUGGGGUGGGACCAGGACCCUUGGCAGGCCUGGGAUGUCACGAACCGUGAGGCUUGAGGCGGGUGUUGCAGGAGGACGGCGUCGGCAGGCUGGACUAAGCUAUGAGAUAGGAAGGAUGAAAGGGAUGCUCCAGCAACGCAUUCAUGUACUAUUGCAUGCAUGGCACAGCCAUGGCGCGCCCGUGCACACACAUUGAUGCUCAUAGCGACGGCGCGAACGGCUAUGUGGCGUUUGUGAUGUGGUCUGGUCCCACACGACUACCGUAUUUGAGGGCGGCUGAUCAUGUGUUGAAUAGUUGGUUCUGGUCGGUACCGCGAUGCAGCCCAGGCCUACAGGGUGUUGGCCGCAUACAUACAGCAGGCAGCAGGUGUGUGCACGGGAGAAAUAGCGGGUGAUCGAGGCUGUGGCUUGUGCUGCGCUGCACUGCUACUACUGCUGCUGUAGUGCGAGAAUCGGGGCUGUGCUGACCCAGUUAUGGACGCUCUCAGGUUGACUUUCAAAGAACGUGACACUGCUGUCUUGUGCAGUAAGUGCUGCAAUUGCGGUCUUCGGCUCAGUGUAUCGGAGUAAUCGGACACACUGGCCAGAAGGCUACGGCAAUGCAUGCAUCACAAUAUGCGUAUCACAUUGAAGCGCACUCCGCUUGACUUCCUGUGCCCGGGCCCAGUUUCCCACUACGGCAGCCUGCCGCUUCGCACAUAACAGCCGGCAACCACAUUCCUGACUCUCGGUCACAGGCUCACAGCAGGGUCAGCACGCUAUCUGGCCCCCCUUGUACAUUUCUAACUCGCCCCCAUCGGUCAGACUUGUAUCCGGCUCAGCCCGUACCACUCAGCCGCCGUACCCCCUCCAUCUCCUGUCAAUCGGAAUCAAGAUGUCUAGUUUGCUACAGCCGCAUCCUCCCAGGCACCAUGCGGCCAGCGUUCUCCCGUCGCCACUGCUCCAGCCACGCCCGAAUCUCCUGCGCCUCCGGGCCCUCGCCCCGCCGCGCCACCGCCUGCACCGCUAGCUGCCACUCCCCCUCGUGCCGCAGCCCCUCCGCCGCCGGGCCGCCCAGCACCGCACAGGCCCUCACGCUGUAAGCCGCAUCCUUCAGCCGCAGUGCCUUGCCCUUGGUUGCGUUGAGUGCGGCCAGGAGCGCUGCGGCCGCGCCCUCCCGGUCUCCCUCCAGCAGCCACCGCAGCUCGCUCAGCGGCACGUCCGGGUCCUCCAGCAGCGCCAACAGCCCCUGGCAGGCGCUGCUGCCGCCCAGCCGCAACCGCGACAGCUCGCGGAGCGUGCGCCGGUCGCCCAGCGCCCCGCUGUAAGCCUCAGCCCCCUGGGGGAUGCAGCGUGGGGGUGCAGUGAUUGCGGGCGGUCUAGUACCAGUAAGUCAGGGCGAGCCAGGAUGCAAGCGGGCUGCAGGCGGGCUGCACAAUGCAGCAGCGAGUCGCGACCACCCCAUGCGAUCAUGCACCCAUGGUCGUACGGUAGCCUAGUAUGCAAGCGUUGCAAAUCCCCGUGCAGGUGUGCGUUUAGGUAACCCGCGCUCGCUGACGUGCUCUCACCGGCUUGAAGCAGCCGCACUCGGCCAGCUGCCGCAGGACCUCCACGCAGCCCGCGCGCGCUGCGACCAGCCACCACACGAACCCCCUGCCCUGUGUCGCACGCACGCCGUGAUCCAGCGCCCAGCGCACCACCUCCGUCUGACCUCGGAGCAGCCCCCGCUCCAUCACCACCUCCGCCGCCCCCCGCUUGAGGAACUUGGGCAAGCCCUCGCGCCGCCAGCACGCCACCGCCGCCGCCCUGCCGGUGGCUGGCUUGGCGGCCUCGCGCAGGACCCACUCCACCACGCCGAUGUGACCCUCCGCCGCCGCAUCCUCGAGCACACACGACAAAGAGAAGUCGCAGCAGCCCAAGGAGCCGUAGCACCCCACCAGGAGCUGCAGCGCUUCGACGCUACCAGCAGCCGCGGCGGCGCGCAGGCACAAGGGUGCGCACAUGCAACACUGCUCGCCCCAGCGCAGCUGGGUGCGUGCGCCCACUGUGUCCAGCAAGUAGCGCAGCGCCGGGACGUCGCCGCGCCGCGCCGCCGCUUCCACCACCCGCAUCAGGUCGGCGCCGCCACUCGGUCGCCAGCGGCGCUGCUCCCACAUCGCCCGCACGCGGUCCAGCCCAUCCGGCCUCUGCAUGGCCGCCUCGUACAGCCUCACGAGCAGCGCGUCGUUGUCGCGGCCGGAGGCGAGCUGAGCAUUGGCCUCGUCGCAGUGCCGGCGCAGCAGCACGUCUAGCUUCUCCAGCCAGCAGGCCGUGGGGCUGCCCGCGGCCGCGAUCAGCAUCGCCUCAAACUGCGCGUCCGCCACCUCGCAUCGGAAACCGUCGCUGCGCUUUUCCACGUAUGCGGGGCCGAAGCGGCCUGCCGCCGCGUUGCCUGCCUGCAUUGGGUGCGGCUGCUGCGGCUGCCCGUCUGCUGGUGGAGGCUGCUGCUGAGGUUGCUGGUGGAGCUGCAGCCGCCAUUGCUGCAGCUGCUGUGCACGCCCCCCCAGCCAGUAGGUGUACGUGCGCUCCAGGUCGCGCACGCCGCACCCGUGCGCCGCCGCCACCACCAGCUCUUGCGCCGCGCAAUCCGCCCUGCCAUCCUUGGGACACAGGUACAGCAGCCGCUGCGCCAGGUCUGCAUGCCCUCCCCGCGCUGCCGCGAAGGCGGCGGCUUCUCCCCAGGCGCAGCGCCCGCCCGCCAGCAACCAGUCGCAGACGUCGCCAUUACCGGCUGCGGCUGCGCUGCACAGUGUGGACGGCUCGGUACUGAAGGUCCGGUUGUGCAGCGGGCAGCCCAUUGCUGCUAAGCCCUCACACAGUGCCAGCGCGACUCCAGGGCCCGGCGCGGCGGCAGCAGCCGUGAAGAGCCAGCUGUCGGGACAUAGCCCCGUCGCCUUCAGAGCCGCCUGCACAGCCUCCAGGCUGCCGCCACGAGCUGCGCCGCAGACGAUCUGCUUCCGCUGGAUGAGGGUGCUGCGGUGCACCAGCGGUUGGGGCACGCGGGCGUAUUCGUGGACUGGCAGCGGCUCCGCCGCUCGGACCACCUUGUGCGCGGAUAACAGCUGCGCUGUCGCCUUGUUGAGCAGGCGCAGCGUCAUCGCUACCUCGUUUGGCGGCAGAAAAUGGGCGAUGCGCUCAAUCAGCCCCGGAAUCCAGGGCUCCUGAAACCCGGAGUCGACAGGGUCGCAUCGCUGCUCUUUCUUUGCGGGCUUCGGAUUUGGGUUACGACGUCGCUGUCGCGGAGGCAUUCCUUAGUGUAGAAGCUGCAGACUUGAUGUGUUAUUACACACUGACGCGCACUUUUCGGCAGUGCGCGACCGAUGCCAAUUAGAAGCUUCUAACAGUUGAUGGACUGCACCAGGCCCCUGAAUGCAAGACAGCUAUGUGGAGAUAUUUUGGUAUGAUGCCUAGACCAUCACCCACUGAGAAAGUACGGGCAGGCUGCGGGAUGUGCCUCAUGCGCUACAUGGCACACCCAGGACCCCCAAUCCGCCUGCCUGUCGCACCAGGGGAGGUCGGCAAACUCCAAGGACGCCAGCAUAGCAAAUGGCCACCCCCAAUGCAAGGGCUAAACUUCAACCGCCAAGAAUUACAGACGACAGGCCGAAGGCCACGCUUGGGCGUGUGUCACUGGCGCCGCCCACAGCUGCGGCGCCCGCCGAGCCUGCCGCCGUGACGCCUCGCUCUGAUGCCGAGUAGCCAGGCAGCGACAGGCGGUUGAUGUAUGUGUCAGCGGUGGUGCCCAGAUUGAGACCCACGGUGAAGGUCAGUGGCUCAGCGGUAUCGAAUCCCCCUGCGCACGCAGCGAGUGCAGUCGGACACAGGGCACGCAUGAUGUGGCUGGGUGAGUGGGUCGCGUGCCGAGGUCAAGACUCGGCAAGGCCGGCGCGCCACGCUGAUGGUCUGUGCCAGGUCGGAACGGCUACACGUAUGGGAAGAAAGAGGCUGGAGCAGUUGUCAGCGUGCGCUGUGCUCUGCAACAGGUGUAGGCAGCUGAACGAGGUUACCGUGCCGGGACGUGGCCACUCACCUGUGUUGCCGGACGUGCGCUGCCGCUGCAGCACUCCCUCGUAGGCUUGGAAGGAGCCCUGUGGGGUUCAGGGGCAGAGGAACAUGGCGAGGGGCUGCAGCUGAAGCCUGGCCGAGGCUGCUGGCGAGUGUGGCAGGCGAUGACUCUGAAGCACUGCAAAGCCUCUUACGCAACACCACGAGUAAGGGAUGCAUGCACCGCCGGUGCCAGAGCUGUUUAGGCACACAUGACGUGUGCACGCACCCCGGCUGUGGCCACGCGCGCGGUGUUGGUGUUGUCUCGUGUCACGGAGGGGAACUGGUUUAUCAUGGUGGUGAAGCGCAGGUUGUCCAACGACUGCGGCAUCACCGUGGGAACGGGACGGCGGGAACAGGUGGAUGAGUUGCGGCAAUGUUUACCGCAAACGUGUGCGCAUGUACGUGCAAAUCAGCUGCAAGCGCGCGAGGCCCCACGCUAAGGUACGGUACCAAGCAUGGCUAAGCGCACAGCACCUGCGCCCCCAGCGACAGCCCAGCGAGCACGGGGCUGUUGCCGAACUGAAACAGCAGGUCGUAUGUGUACGGCACCACGAUUGUGGUGGCGGCGGCGGCGGCAGCCGCCGCAACCGAGCCUGCAAGCAUGCAGAUUGCAAGGAGGCCAGGUCACGUAAGGGCGCACUAUCAAGGAAGGCUCCAUGAUGUACAGGCUCGCCUUACACACAGCAGCAACAUCUGCCGCCGUACGCACAUCACCACGCACUCGCAUGCACGCACACUGACCGGGCGGGGGAAUGGGCGCCACCUGCUGGCAACUAACGGAGUUGUUGGCGCUGCGCACCAGACUGAAGAAGUUCAGGCACUGCGGCUCGGCGCAGGCGUCCAGACCGCUCAGCGUGGAGCAGUCAAACUGCAGAGCGUAUGCACGUAUGCGUCAGGGCGGGAGGUUGGGGGCAAUCAUCUGACAUCCAAUCGGUGUGGGAUCAGGGGGUAGAGCGGUCGGUCAAAUUACAUGCACGGCACGCAUCGCGAGCGGCCGGCAGCUAUGUGGCGGCACUCGGGCACACUCACCCCAAAGUCCUGGAUGGGCACAAUGACGGAGAUGGGCAAGUUACGCGCGCCGCGCCCGGCCAGUCCAAUGGUAACUUGCAGCAGCACUCGGCCGCUUCCCACAUCGUAGUCUGCACCCCCGGCAGCAACACCAUCCAGGUUCACGGGCUCCACGCUGACGCGGCCCUCACUGGGCUCAGUUGCAUGUGCUGCGGACGCAUUCGUAGCUGGCACCAACUGCACCGGCGUGAACUGCACAGCUGUCCGGGCAAAGGCAUCCCGCUGGCGGAGGGCGUCAGGAGCUACUGCUGCUGCUACCCCGGGAGCGCUCCUAGCGCGUGCACCGCCACACCAUGGCAACGGCGCAACGUGCCUGCUGUCUGGUUCGCCCGUCGUAAGGUUUUCCGACUCAUCCGCAGCCAGCAAGUCGUUCUGGCUACUGCCGCUGCGGCCAUCCGGACGGCUAGGCACAUAACGCAUGACGGGCUGUAGCAGCACGUGCUCCAGCACUCGGCGGUGGCUGUAGCCCUGGGUCCCUGCGGGCGCUGAGGCUGCUACUGCCGCCGCCCAGCAGGCCUCAUCCUCCACCCCGCACCUCCAGUGUCGCCGCCGUGGCGGCUGUGCUGAGGGCCCUGCAGCCGCAACGGUCGCGCCCGUGCUGCCAUCCGCUCUACCAGCCGAUUGCGCGUCACCAUCGGCUGUAGCACCUUGCACCUGAUCCUGCACCAAGGCGUGCUCCGGCGGCAGUAGCUGCUGUGCUGACGAGGGUGGCGGCGGUGGCGGCGGCUCCUCCAGUGCCACGGCGUCCAGCCCCCAGCACAGCUCCUCAUCGACCUCGUCUGCAUCCGCGCCGUAGUCCCAGUGGUGCGGCAUGCCGCAGACCGUAAGGGACUGCAGCGACUGCUGCAGCUGAGCAGCAGCAGCCGCAGCCGCUGCAGCGUCUCCAGCUGCUACAGCCUCGCCGCCGCCUGUUGCUACAGCCUUCGCAUGCUCCUGCAUCAGCAGCUGCACCACAUGCUGGUCGUACUCAUCCAGUUCUUCAAACCACACUGCGUCCUCGAAAGGUAUGUUGGCAAGUGUGGGCACGGCGUGGUGCUGGUGACGCUGCGGCAGCGGCGUAGCGGCUGCUGCGGCAUCGUGCACUGGCGAGCCUGCCACGUGGCGGCUUGUGGUCGCAUCGAAUGCCCCAUGCUCACUGCCGCCUCUAAGCAGCGCUGCAGCGACCAGGCGCCCGUGACUAUUCUGGGGGAGGAGGAGAAGCGCCGCAAGUAGCAGCGACAAAGCUUCACGGCUCCGCCGCGUGCAGCUAGUCCGCGACGUCACGUUUCGAAAUAUCGUCAUUGGCACAUUGCUAAAACGGUUAUCACGGGGGCGCGACUGGACGCACACGCUGUUUUUAUUUGUUGAGGAUGGAACCAAGUAAGGCCCGGGUUCGUGCCAUCCAAGAGCGGAGGGCCUCCUGCCCAAACUUAUGGGAGAAGACGCAUACGAUAUUUACAGGCAUACCAUACAUUAUAUGAAUGCAUCACCAGAUGCGACGUCAAGAAUCCACUUCCCAAUGUCAAAGCCGGCCACGGAGGACCCUCAGCCUGGUGUUGCUGGUCUUCAGCGCGGGGGGCCUAAGUCCCGGCUGGCGCCAGGGGGCUGGCUGUCCAGGGCCUGGCGCAUUUGCAACGGCAGCAGGAAAAGAGCGCACGGCACGGGCAUUAGGGAUGCACGCUACUGAGCCGGAGCCUUGGCUGCGCCCGGCGGCAGGGUGUCCUCGCACCCUGGAUCCCGCGAUGCCCAUGCAGAAACCCGGCGAGCCUGCUGCUGCUACUGCUGCUGGCGGCUCGGUUAGGCAGCAGCAGGGUAGCGCACACACAAGGGCUUUGGAUCGGCUGCAAGAGUUGCUUACCAGAUGGGUGCAGCAUUCAAAGCAGGACACGGCUGCCGAAGCCUUCACACCCCAGCCCGGCCGCGAGCCCACGACCGCGGGAUCAAAUCCAGUAGCAGUACAGGACUUACUGCCGGGGCACCCUAUGCGCCGCACCCUGCAACAAGUUCAGCAAGUACAGCAGCCAGGGCAGGGCCUGGCAUUGCCCGGGUCCCUGCUGUCCAGCCUAGCAGACUCAUACGGUCUGGGCGGUGUGGGUUCAGGCGGACUGGCUACCUCAGUCAGCGCCACGCCCGCAGCAACUGUUGCUGCGCCCGCUCCGGCGACACACCAGCAAGGGAUAGCAGGGGAUGGGUCUGACAUCGUGCUAGGGGGGUUAGAUCCUAGCACGUUUGCCGGAGGCGCGGCAGGCAGCACCGGCACUGGCGGCGACGCUACGAGGAGUGUUGGCGGCAACAGUGGGAGCAGUGGCGCGAGCAGUGAUGGGAGCAGCGAUGGGAGCAGCGAUGGGAGCAGCGAUGGGAGCAGCGAUGGGAGCAGCAGUGAAGCCGGACCCAUCCUCAUGUUCGGUGACGCUGCGCCGCAGCCGACAUCCCCCUCUUCCCCAGCCGCCGGCAGCGCUGGCCAGGCCAGCCUGUGGGGCGGCUCUGCUGGCGCUGCAGCGACGCCAUCGGUUCCUGCGCCCCUGCUGGUAUGGCAGAGGCAGAAGGGUGACCACAGCAGCACCGGCGGCGCCGGAGACGUCAGCAGCCCGGCUACCGGCGGCACUGCGGUGGUGCUCCGCACGCCGUCCCGCUUCGGGCCGACAGGCUUGCCCUCCGUCAGUGCCGCCACCACACCUGCUGCCCAGGUGGCCCUGUCGCCGAGUAUCACACUGGGCAGCACCCCAUUGCACGCUUCCAACUCUUCUACCGGAGGCAACGGCACUUUGCAGGCAACUGCCAUCAACGUGCCCAUGCAUGUGCUGCAUGACCAGCAGCUGUACGACGCGGACUACAUCGUGCCGGACCUGGAGGACGAUCCGUACGGCCGCAAUCCGCUGUUCGAUCCGCUGUACCGGGCGGGUAUGGACGAGCUGCAGUGCGCGGAGGCGGGGGCUGGCCGACCGGGAUCGGGAGUUGCAGGGCUGCGGGGCUCCGGGGUAGGCACGCUGGCUGGCGAGGGGUUGCCGGGGCUGUGCCUGGCACCACACGCACCCAUGGUGGCACAGCUGGCACAGCCCUUGUACGACGACGACUAUACACAGGUGUGUGUGCGGACUGCCGAGCGCGGGGACACGGACGUUGCGACCACGCCCUAUUGUUCGUUUUCAUACAUGCUGGCCGUGUACACUACAAGUGACCAGGGUGCGGGUGCCCUCUCAAUCGCAGCACCCAUCCGCGGCGCUCGGGCAUGCAAUCCCCUCACCCACACGCCUCAACGGCCACGCCCAUCCCCGCUCUCGUGGACGCGGUAUUGCAGGAUUUUGGCACCGCCGUACACGGCACGCCGACGGCGGUGUACGGGCCCGCGGGUCUGCAGCUGGAUGCGCUGCGUGUGGCCACCCUGCAGGCCGCGCAGUUCGAACCGGGCACGUGGAGUGUGACGCCGGCGGCGGCGGGCAGCGCUACACCUGGCGACGGUCUCGGCUGGCGCCUUGGAAGGGGCAACGGCACCAUUGGUGGCGGCUUCGGGAAUGGCGGUUUUGGUGGCGGCAUUGGCAACAACAACGGCACGGGAGGUGGAGGCGGAGGUGUGAACCCGUACGAGGCGGCCCUGGGCCCCUACGUGCCGUACACCGACCGCGUGCUGUUCUCACCCAUCGCCAGCCUGAUUGGUGCGUCGCAGCCCCUGCACCGGCAUGGGGGAGGAAUACCAUGUACAUUACGGGAGCAACUGGGCAAUUGCGGUGCGCCCGGCGCACACCGCUGACGCGCCGACAGCACCACAGCGACUGUGCUCGUGUUCAUUCAGUUGCCGCACACGCCGGUGCUGUACAGGUGUGCCGUACCCGGUGUCCAUCUACGCGGGCGAGCUGUACAUUGCGGAGGCGGACCCGCUGCUGACGGCGGCGGGGGAGGCUGCGCGUGCGGGCCUGCUCGUUGACUACUACCUUGAGAGGUGCUGCCGGGGAGUGGCGGGGAGAAUAGAACUGUAAUAUUUAGAACUGUAAUCAGAAGGGGAGGUCAGCGGGGAGGCCGUGCAUCAGGGUAAGUAUGGUUCAUGGGUGGUGGAGUGAUGAGGUGCAACGCCAUCGCCGGACCUGCGCCCGGCCCAACAGGAACUACUACACGCCCUUCACGUUCACGCGGGUGGGGCCAAGUGUGUUGGCGCUCACAGCCAGCACCGCGCGCUCACGCGGCCAGGUAGGCAAGUGUAUGGCCAGGGCGCGGCGGCGCGGUGGCAAGUUGGGCAGGCACCCAGGCGGGCCGCGGUCAGCCAGCCAGGCGGGCCGGCGGGCCGGCGGGCAGGCAGACAGGCGGACAGGCAGUCACAGGCGGGCAGGCGGGCAGAUCAAUGUUACUUAACGGACUCGAAAGAAGCAGUGGGCUGUGCACCGAUUCGCAAACCUGGUACUGCUGCGGGUGCCGCUGCUCAUCCUUGCGCUGUCCUGCACGCACGAGACUCCUGACCUGCACCCCUCCCCCACCGCCUGGCACUCCCUUCUCCCGCCAUCCCGCAGAUCGGCGUGGCGGCCAAGGCGCGCGCGCUGGCUCAGGCGCUGUACAGCUACCAGCGCUCGCGCUACCUGGCCAAUAGCGUGGAGGUGGCGCUGGGCUCGCGCGGCUUUGCGGGCGCCUCGCUGGGCGCCUACCUAUUCAACAACCCGCUCGUCAACAACCAGUUCCUGCUGCAGGGCCCCGACCUGGCGCCCUAGGGCGGCUUUUCGGGGCAUGUCGUGUGCAAAGCUGGCGUGUGCGGCGUGGCCUGUGCAUGCGUGCACGCAGGCGGGAAAUCGCCGAAUUGGCAGUGCGUGGUUGUAAGCUGGCAUACGGUAUGCAGGUUCGGCUGUUGCGAUGGACACGUUUCUGGAGUCGCGUGGCGUGCACGUGCGGUUGGCCGGGGUUGCUUGAGGAGCUGGGAUUGCGAUUCCGCAUUUAAGAAGCGGGAAGCACAUGGGCGGUGCACGAGCAGGGAUACGACGUGAUCAGUUUCACAGACUGGCAGAAAUCCUACUCGUCAACCGACUACGACAAUAAGCUAUAUGCCCCACCCCGGCGUGCUCUUCCUUCGUCGGCAUUGAUGUCACCUUGCGGUCCGGUGUGAGGCCGCAUGUGGUUCUAGAGGUUCACCUUACACGAGUGCAUGCGGGUAUAAUGGAGCAGAAGUAUGCCAGCUCAGACCCACACGCUCAGAUCCAAACUCGCAACAGUAACCAUCGUACUCGAGCUCCUCUAUUCUGCAUGCGAAGCCAGAGCUGGUGUUGCCCUGUGCGGGCCUGGUCCACUUGUGUGUUCACGCCUCGCCUCAGCUCGCUCACCACCGAUGCACGUACACCAGACAUUUCUUUUGGGUUGUGUAGACCAGCCGCUCAGCAUUGUAAUCUGGGGCAACCUGCCGCACGUGCGCCACAACAGUGACGACUCUCGUGGCUCUCAAUCAAGGAAAGCUAACCUCUACGCGCCAUCACAUAAGCAUGGGGCCACGGGCACCCCUCGCGCCGCUGCACACUGAGCGGUAGCAUACUUCGCGCAACGCACCACAUGCAGACAAAACGUGUUCCUCGCCCCCAGCGGUGCUCUGCCUGGCGCACCCCACAGCGCAGCAAAAUUGAGGGCCCAGUGCCACAUAACUGUUGCUUGUGUAGCUAGCAUCUGCCGUACGCACAUGCGCACAACUCGCAUCGCGCCCCAAACAUGACGCAUGCGGCUGCAGCAGGCGGCGGCUCCUCCGGGCGCGUUGUCAAUGCAACCGUGUUAUUUUGCACCCCUUCAACAUGCUCCCAAGACCAAGUCAAACAUCACGCCUGACAACUACUCGUUACACAACUCUCGACCAGACCAGAAAAGCUGCCGGGGCAAGAUCGCUUGCUUCGUUGCCACUACCACGGUUGACAGAGGCUGCAUGUCACUGUUCCCUGUGCCGCACCCGCAACGUCACCCCGGAGCCCCGAGAACCCACCAGGCGCCAAUGAAAUCACCAGCUGUGUUUCGCAGUCUCGCAAACCUCGCGCAUUCGCGCCAUUGUGUGACCUGCUGGCCACUCGCCAGAAGCUGUGCUCCUCCAAUCUCAUGUAUCGUAGCCAUCCCGCGUUCGCCGUCUGACGCCACCCGCCUAUGUGCUAGCCGUUGCCGCCGCUGCCGGCGCUGCUGCUGGCGACGGUAUGCCCUGCGGGUUGAUCUUAACGGGCAUGCCGGGCGCGACGCUCACCUCCACCGCGUGCUGAGACGGCACGUUGAUGGACAGAUGCGCGCUGGCGCCCCCGUGACUAGCACCGUUGGUGUGCCCGUUUGACGCGUGCCCGUUGGUGUAGCUGCCAUUGGUGUGCCCGUUGGCGCCGUUCCCGUUCACACCGUUAGCGCUGGUGCCGUUGGUGUGAGGGGUGACCGUCACGCCAGCCUUGCGCACGCGCCGCACGCCAGGGCGGUUGAGCGACGCAUUAGAGGACGAAUCCCGAGAGGGCGAGGGCAGCCGCGCCGCGAGAGACUCCAGCGCCACAGCUUGCUCUGGCGAGUCCGCGGCUGAAUCCGACGCCGAUGCGGAGCUGGGGCGCUGCGCACCGCGUGGGCUGCUGUGCGCUGCCGCCUGGCGCGUCUUGCCCGCGCCGCCCGCCGCCGUACCUGCCGCUCCGGGCCCAAAGAUGGAGCCCGCCUGCUGCGACUGCGCUUGGUGCUGCUGGAACAGGCCCCCCGCGGAGACGGCGCCGCUGCCCGGCCCCAUGCCGUUGACACUGGGGCUGCGUCCCGCGGCCGAGCCGCCGGCAGGCGGGCCGCCGACCGCGCCAGCAGGCGGGCCGCCGCCCGGUGGCGGCGUGCCGGAGCCGGUCAUCAUGCCUAGCCGGAUGUUGCGCUGCUGCGCCUCCACGCCUGGCAGCCCCCGGCCCAGCGCCGCACCGCGGCCCAUCAUGCGUGCACUGGACACGCCCAUGCCCGCUGCAGCCGCCGCGGCCACCUCCGCGGCGUUGCCGCCCACCGGCACGCCGGCUGACAUGUGGCCCACGCCCGCGCCGUUGCUGUCGCCGGCGCCCGAGGCGCCACUUCCACCCGCGCCGCCGGCAUUCGGCGCCGAGGUGGCCGCGGACGCGGCGGCGGCCUCCGCCGCCUGGCGGCGGCGCUUGAGCCACCGCGCCACCUCCACCGCGAACACGGUGAUGGCGCCGUUGGCGUAGUCCAUGUCCAUCCACACCUUCAUGCGCUGCAGCGUGGCCGACACCGCCAGGCCGGUGGUGAAGUCGGCGCGGUACUGCCCGCCCGCCGGGUCCACGCCCUCGCCGUCGCUCACGUCGCUGUCGCUACCCCAGCUGUCGCCCAUGCCCACGCCCAUGCCGGCGGCGGGCACGCCCGCGGCCAUCAUGGCGGCCACGUCCUCGCGGGCCCACAGGCCGCGCGCGGCAGCGGCGGCUUCGCCGUCGCCGUCGGCCGCCGCCGCCAUGACGGCCUCCAGCUCGUCCAGGUCGCUGGCGGCGGUGCCGGCGUGGCGGCUGGCCUCAACGUCAGAGCCGUCAGAGGCGGCGUCCGCGGCGUUGCGGCGGAGCGACAGCGCGGCGGCAGCGGCCGCCGCGGCGGCGGCGGGAGAGCCGUUCACGGCGCGGCGAGCGCGGGAGCGGCGGUACUCGUUGCGGCGCUGCAGCUUUGACCGCUCCUCGGGCGUCAUCUGCGGAAGGGAAGUGGGGUGGCCGGGUUGGGGUUUGCAGAUGAGGAAUCGUUGGCGGGUGACUCACAUUCCUAUGACCGUCUCUCUGUCUCCGGCAUCCUACUGUCUUACGUCUUGUCUCUUUAUCACAAUCGCCCACUGCUUUUGUGUUUCAUGCACCUUGCCCGCUGACCUUUCGUCCCAUCACCCGCUGCCCGAUUCCUCACCCCCCUGCGCCACCGACCGCGCCACUGCCUGCACCGCACUCACGUGGUCGGUGUAGCGGUUCAUGAUGCGUUCCAGGUAGCUGGGCCACUUGACCAGGUCGGGGUUGAAAGGCGGCACCAGCAGCGUGAUGCUGUGGUGGUAGUUGUCCUUAACGCGCGGCCGCGCCGCGCCCGCCAGCGCCGCCAGGCCGCGGUCCGCCAUGCUCAUGCGGUCCGUCACGCCCGCCGCCUUGUCCAGGUCCAUGCCCGCCAGCGCCGCCUUCUUGGCAGCUGCCUCCGCCUCCGCCGCCUUGCGCUUCGCGCGCCGGUCCAGCGUCUGCAGGAUAUGCAGCACGUACACCUCAGCCACCACGGGCGGCAGCCGCCGCAUGUCCAUCACCAGCGGGGCGUCAGGGUCGAACUUGGGCAGCAGGCCACGGCCAAUGGCCUCCUCCAGCACGGCAAAAGCGCGCGGCUCGAAGGCGCACUCGAAUACCGCGUUGCGCGGGCGCAGCGGCACAAAGGGCGAGGCGGCGAAGCCCGCCGCGGCGGCGGCGGCCAUGGCGCCCGAGACGCCCGGCACGCCCGGGACGGUGGAGUCGUCGGGCGGCAGCAUCUUGGCGCGCAUGCAGUUCAGCAAGCUGAGCGGCGGGGGGCAAGGAUGGAAGGAAGGAGAGAUGAAUUGGUGAUGUGCAGAUGCAAGUGCCAGUGACUGGUUACCAGGAGCCGUUGUUGCCCAGGCUGGUCCAGAGCGCUGCAUCACAUUAAACUCUUUACUGGCGUGCGUGCCUGCACAACCCACUUUCCAGUUCCUCAUUCACCGAGUUCCGUUCUCCGCAUUGCUCCCCCCUCGUUUCCCCUCUCCCAGCUGCUGCACUCACACGUCCAGCAGCUCUAGCGAGGGCCGAUGCCCGCGGCCCAGCAUGUGGUGGAAGGCGCUCAGCGCAUGGCUGGCCCAGUCGAUGGUGUCGGGCGGCCCAUCGAACGGGUUGGACUGAUGCGCGCCACGCCGCAGCUUGUGCCCACCCAGAGCCGCCAGCACCUUCUCCGCCUCCAUCUUGCGCUGCGCGGGGAUGCCCGUGCUGUAGGGCGACGCGUGCGGGUGGUGUGAUGAGGAGGGCGAGGACGAGGCGUGGUGGUGGCCGCUGGUGCUGGCGCCGCCGUUAACGGAGGAGGCGGCGCCGGACGCGGAUGCGGGGCCCUGCGGCGGGUAGCCGCCUGACAACCACAGGUAGCGCGUCUGCGCGGAAGGGAACACGCGAAACCGACGCUGCCAUCAGAAAGGCGCACUCCGAUGACAAUGGUAUGCGCAUCACUCCAUAAUUCUUUGCACGUGUAGAGAGCAGCCCAACAACCGCCCAACUGGCCCGCCCUUUUGCUCCAGAACCAGCUGCGGUGGCGUAAUGACCUUUGCCCCAACGAGCUGCUCGCUCUCCGGCGCACCUGGUUGUAGCAAGCCUUGAUGAGCAUGUAGUAGAUGGUCUGCGCGAACUUGCCCUGUAGGAUGUGCACCUUGUUGGCGUGCAUCAGCGCAAACACCUGGAAGGCCAGGCCCGCCUGGUCCGUGACCUCGCAGGCGUUGAUGAUGAUGCGGUAGGUGUUGAGGUUGGGCUGCCGGCCCGCCGCCACCAUGUCACACAGCAGGCUCACCACCUCCCCAAACCUGUCGUGGUGCGUGACGCAGUUUGAGAGGGAAGGAUUCAGUGCGGUUGCUGGGUUGCUGGGACGUAACUUGUUUGGCUGCUGCGAUGCAUCCCUACCGUUCUUUGGUCGCAGCCCAUCUGCCUCAUGUCCAUUCCUCAUUCAUUCCCACAUCCUGCCUUCUGGGCGAACGCUGGGCCAGUUCGCAGCUCGCGUUCAAGCCGGGCCGCUCGUCGUCACUCAAGCGGCAUACCCACCCAGUGGUGAUCGGCAUGCGGGCCGAAUUCAUGUGCCCGAGUCUGUCUCCCUGCCCUCUGCGUGCCAACCGUCCUGUGCCGGUUGCACCCACUUGCUAUCCCACUUCAAACAUCCCGCUACACCCACUUGCUAUCCCACUUCAAACAUCCCGCUACACCCUUCCCUCCCAAUCACGACCCGCCAUCGUUCAUCCGCCGGUUUCUCCGCGACCCAGCCUGCCAGCCUCCCACCAGCCUGCCAUCCGCCCGCCUCGCCCCCUGCCUCGCACUCCCCACCUGAACUCGCUGGCGUACACGUCCAUCAUGCGGUUGAACUGGCUGGGCACCGGGUACACGCUCUGCUUGGCGCACAGGUCGUACACACGCCGGGCCAGAGCCACGUUGCCCUGCAGGUUCGGAUGGGGUUGCGCAGACGGGUAAGCGGGGAGAGCAGGGGGUCCAGAAACGGGGGCGUGAGGAACGUGUGUCGUAUACUGUUUCUCUCCUUCGUUGCUUGCAUGCAGCGCUCCCUUCGCCUGCUUGGUUCAUAUCUUCUGCCACUUCGGAGCAUGGCCUAUGCGGUACUGAAAAGAUGCCCCCUAGAAAUGCCUGCCUACACCCAUAUCCUGUCCUCCUAUCGAAGGCCUUGUGCACCCUUCUCCUUACGGCUACACACCAAUGUCGGCUCGCGCGCUGCGUUGCAAGGCCGCCUCCGCCCGUUUUCGCACUCCCUCCUGCCCAGCCACCACGCCCAUCGCCCCCUGUCAUCCGCUGCCGGCCCACCUGGUCCAGGCAGGCGUGGAUGAUGCCCGACACGCUGGUGCUGCUGGGCCGGAUGCCCUCCGCCGCCAUCUCCGUCAGCAGCUCAAACACCACCUCCAUCCGCCCGCAGCGGCCCGCCACCGCCAUGAAGCAGGCAAAGAACUUCUUGUCUGGCCGCACGCUGGUGCAGCGCUGCAGCGCGCUGUAGAUGGCCUGCGCGCGGUCCCAGGCCCCCGGGAAGGGCAGCAUGCACGCCGACAGCGCCUGCGUGUACAGCUUCACCUCCGACUCGAAGCCCUGUUGGGUCAGCAGCAGGCGCACAACACCGGGGGGGGGGAGGGCAGCGUGUAAGCGCGUCAUGCAGACAGGGGUAGCCGGCCAGGGCGGCCCCAGCGCAGGUGGCCUCAACAACCCAUAGUGCCCGCAUCCGCCAAGCUUUCACUUCUGGAUAUCCCAAACGCAAACAGCGGUCCCCUAGCCCGCAUCCACGCUUGCACCCACGCCCACACCCAGGGCCCACCUUGUGCAAGGCCACCUCGAACACGCGCAACGCCUUCUCCGGCUGCCGCGCGCACACGCACGACUCGAUGAGCGAGCCGUAGGUGGUGGCUGAGGCGCCAAUGCCGCGCUGCUGCAUCAUGGUCAGCACCUCAAAGGCGCGGUUGAGCUCGCCGGAGCGGCCGGCGCACACCAUGAGCGAGUUCCACACGGGCGCCUGCAGCGUCACGCCCGCCGCCUCCGCGUCCGCCACGUACUGGAACGCGCGCUCCAGCAGCACAUACCUGGGCAGGUGGCGGGAGGCAGGGUUGUACAGGGUCAGGAGGGGUAGGCGACGAGGCGUGCAUGCAAGAACAGGAGCAGGGGCGGCCAUCCCGGUCCACUUGGUCACCUAAGGCAAUGUCGCUGAGAGUGAGUACCCUGUCCCGUCAUGCCGCCAUUUCGACCUCCACCCGCCCUUAACCCCUUAAGACCCCACUCACUGGUCCUUGCGCUCAUGCACCACGGUCAGAUCGCGCUUCAUGGCCUCCGCGCACGUGGCGAUGAGUGCGCCGUACACAUGGCUGUCGAUGCGCAGCUGCGCAGCGCGCAUCUCCAGGUACACGCGGUACGCUUUGUCCACGUUGCCCACCGCCUUGCACACUGCGUGCGCGUGUGGGGAGAUCGAGUGACACGAGUUGGGGUGGAUUGAAUUGGGGAUAGCGAGGGCUUAUGGCGGGGAUUGUACCCGGCCCAAGCAUGGUGCUAGGGUCGGAGAUAGGGGCUACAGCGAUCGUCGUUUCGACCGCCCCGCAUCGCACGCAUGCAACACGACUGUCCGUGGCCGCUUCCAUUGUGCGCGACAGCCUUUCCAGAGAAGCUACUUCUGCUAUUGCCCCUCAAGAAGGGCCAUCAGUAAGGAGGCACCAUCUACAGGGAGGAACCAUGCACGAAACGCAGGCGUGCCGCCCGGAAUUGAUUCGCGCUACAACCGGCACUGACACUCCCCCGCCCGAAUCCGGCGUGUCCCGCCCUCACCCUUGAUAAGCGUAGUCAUCAUCUGUACGUCUACCGUCACGCCGCUCUUUCGCGCCAGCUCCACCACCGUCAUGCCCGCAUCCAGGUCGCGGCACCGCGCGCACGCCUUCAGCACCGCCAUGAACAGCGCCGCUGGCUUCGACACGUAGGGUGCCGCAAUCUUCGCAAACACGACCGCUGGCUUAGCCUUCAUGGUCAAACAGACCUCCUCGAUGAAGGACGAGUAGUGCCACCUGUCGAGAAGGGUCAAAACAACGUCACACGACUGUUACAUGUCGAUUUCCGUGGGCCCCUUCGCACUGGACAGCUCAAUUCUCACCUCUUGCACACCACCUCGAGCAUGGGUUUGUUCAGCUCCUGCAGUAGCCGAAGCAGCGUGUCGAAUUCGCCCCGCUUUGAGAGCCCAGAGAGCGUAGCCAUAAUGGUGUUUGGCCCCUUGCCCUUGAUAUGGGCCAGCACGCUGUCAAGCGACGAGCUGCUGUCGCUCGUAGAAGCUGGAAGGUUGCGAGCCUCAGCGCUCCAGACGCUGGAGCUGCUGCCGAGCACUUCUGCACUGAAGUCCUCGAGCUGCCGCUGCGAGAGGGGCGUGCUUUGCUGGUAUGGUCCCUCAUUUCCCUCAUUCAACACUUGCUGCUUAGGCCUGAUGGUGCGCUGCGCCUGGGGAGCAGCGCGACCUGGUGUCUCGACUAGGGUACUCGCGCCCGAUACUUGCGGCGGCGGUGCGAAGCGAGAAUAGCGAGCCCUGGUCGCUGGAACCUCAUCUGAAGGAGCAGGCUCUACGUCCUCAAGCCUUGGUGCAGACACGCGGACGACGCACGGCCUGCAGGGCGCGUGCAAGCUGCUUGCUUCAAAUAACGCUGACAAUUGCAGUCCACGUCGCCUGCCCGCUUGCCCACAGGCGUCCAUCCUUACGACGGUGCCGUUGAAGGCCUCUAAUAUUGAUCUACCGCACCUUCGCGUCAGCACCUCGCGCGUUGGGCACCGCGCGCCUAGUGCUGGGGCUCCUGCCUGCCUAUUGAUCAUGUUUCCUACACGCUGGCCACCCGGCCAGCCCUAGAAAUGUGCCAACGUGUUAUGGGAAACGUCAAGGCAACAAGGUAGAGUUGAGGGAAACAAACAAGCCGAAUGCCCACUAUGAUACGUAGUCGCCCGAGUGCUAAUUAGCCUAAGGAAUAAUGCUAAUGAGCGUGCAGGCAAUGGAGGUGUGCUCAGCGUGGUUCGCGGGUGUCGGGACGGGGUCUUAUCUUUGUCUAUCAUCCGAGUGCAGCGAGCAAGGACGUUUGCACCCGCCUUCAGUCCAGCCUUUCACAUCCAUACUGUGCUUACAACAAUUUCAACUUGCAGAAAAUAACUGCAUAGCCUGUCCGCUGUCGGGCAAAAGUCACGACGACUGUGACACGGGCGCCGCGUCGACACUGCGCCCGAAAGGUCCUUUGAGCACGCCCGCUUGCAAUUGCUGCUACCAGAUAGCAUUUAAAAUUCAAUGACGUCCACCCACAUCCUGGCAUACUUGCUUUGCCAUUCUCCCGCCAUUCGGGAUAGCCUGGCAAGCGGGCGACGGGGCGGACCUUGGCAAACCCGUGUUGUAGGCUUCUCCUUGCGGCCAUGAUGUUAGGGGUCGAUUUGGGAUGUAAGGGGCACGGAAUGGGGCUGGUGCAUCACGUGCCAUGUGUACGAAUGUAUGUUGGGCCGUGUGUUGGGCCUGGAAGCCAGCAGCCCGUCGCCAUAUCCAAUGCAGCUGGAGUGGUGAGGGGUUUUAGAUAGCUGGCGGGCCGGCAUAGUCCAACCUCAGGGAGGGCAUCACGAGCUAGAGAGCGGCCGGGCGGGUGUUCCCAAUUCAUCAGACGUCCAGCUGCCUCUUCACGUGUUCGUGGCUUCGGGCGGUCCAGGCGGUCUUGCCUUGCGUGCUGAGGGUUGCGGGCUGCUGCUGAGGGUUUGCGCAGAAUCUACUUGCUGUGAAGGGUUGUGAUGGGUUCGGGUUGUGGUGUAGUGUGGCCGGCUGUGCCACGCGCCGUUGAUGGGGUGGGCGAGUCUAACCUAGAAGGUUGUUCAGUGCCGGUUCGGUUUUCGCAGUGGUUUCGAAGUGCUCCUGCCAGUAUCCUCUUUCUUUGCGUGCCUGUUAGUGGGUUGACUAGGUAACUGGAUGGCGGGGUGAGUCGGCUGGUUCGCCGUUGUGGCCUGUGGUGACUGCAUGAACUCAUGCACGCCAGCGCUUGAAAGCCCAGCGCAUAUGUGCUGACAUUUGGGCACUUGUGCCGACAUGUCCACGCAAGGACGCGCAAGUAAGCUACCCCACACUCUGUUUGUGCUUGUUAUGGAUUAACGUGCAUAUUCGAAACUCGUGGGGCUGCGUUUGGCCCCUAGUUCUGCUCGUGGGGCGCUUCCCCAAACCCGCCAGGAUGGACAGCACCAUCUCCUAGCGCCCAUGACUUUUAAGACUGCACAUAUACAGCCAUUGGGUGAUACGUAAGAUCGCGGUCAUGAUUGCUGCGGGGUCCGGCACCGGGCCGACAUUACUUGCGUACGGCAUGGUGGGGCAUGUCGGGGCAUGUCGGCUAGGUAGUGCUAGGGGAGCUGACUGUUUGCUAGACCUACUUCGACUCUCGUUUCCUCGCAUACUCCGCCUAGAAAUCUACAGGCGCUUGAGCCUUAGCACCUAAACUUCUACUUCUCAUGAGGUUAGCCGAGUUGUUUGGAAGUUUGGGCUGAAAUGCCCCUGCAACCCUGACUUUGCUUUCCGCUGCCCGCAUGUACCUCCAGUACGAAGGAGGAGAAGCCGACACUUGCGUAAGUCCAAUGAGCGACCAUUAGAAAGCAGCCGGAAGGAAAACUUGACAAGAUCGCUCCAUUUCUCCUUGCAGUGGCGUUAACGUCAAGACCCGCAAGCGGAACAUCGUUAUCCCUGAGGAUCCGGGCUCGUUUGCCGAUGCGAUCGUGACGCUGUGCCAGGACGCGGCGUCAGAUGACGGUUCGGCCGGCCUCGAGGCGGACCUCGAGGCGGCCGCUAAGGCGCUCGACGGCGCGGAGCUAGAGUACUCCCGCUAUGGCGAUGUGCUCUUCCAGGUCUUUUUCGCGGGUGGCCGCUUGGGAACGGGCGCGCAGCUGGCGGCGGAGGACAAGAUGCGCCUCGCGACCAACGUAAGCGCAUUCACAUUCUGAGGGCAGAGGAUUCCGGGGAAACCUUACUCACGCGACGGGGGCUUGCGAAUUGCAGAUUCUGGCCGCUGAGGCAACCCGGGAAGCCAUCAACCCCUACUUCAAGCUGUUCCAGACGCUCACGCGGUAAGAAGAAAUUACCAGUGUCAGAGGCUCUUGGCUAUGCAUAUUGAAAGACGUGUGCGAGAAGCGAGUUUGACUCUCAGGGUUUUGGCACGCCACGGCUCCGAGCCAGCCAGACGUGCUGUGCGUCCUGCGGUGCCUUACCAUUCCUCUGCUGCGUUCUGCUGUUGCUCGCCAGCCGCCGCCCCUUCCUGAUCCGCGGCCUGGAGAACACGCUGGUGAAGCUGAUGCUGUCGCUGGAGUUCUUCGACGACGUCGGCCGCAAGAAGCUGGGGAUUGGUGAGCAGUAGCACGGUUGCCUGCGAGGGUGAUAAAAGCACAGAAGCCCCGGAACCAGGGUCCAGUGUUAUGCGAGCUAGUAUUAGAACAACGCAUUGCGUGUGCCUUAUGGGGUUCAGCGGACCCAGCAUCUGAGGCGCCAACCGGCAGGAGGACCGCAGCAGGGAGAGCUCGCCACGCCGCGGCGAUGGCAGCAUCAACGGCGAUCAGCACCACAUGUUUGAAGCGGCACCACGUCUGCCUAGCCUAGCCUCUCUCUGGCGGGUCCUAGGUGUGGCGCAGCUUUCGCAGCAGCCUGCUGAGGUACAGGGCCAGGCGCCGGCGGCCUCCGCGGAGGCGACAGCAAGCCGGCAAAGGCCUGCGGCCAAGCAUUUUCUGAGCAGAAGAUUAGAAGGGUUUGCGCUCGGUGUACACGCGGGGCCGUGACACCAGACUGCGUUCGCAAUAGAGGCACGGGCGGCAGGAGUGGGGGGUCGGUGGCCUGGUGGCAAGCUUGAAGGGCCCAAUGCGGGCGAAAACACGCGCCGGCACUGGUGUCACCUGUCCGGCUUGGCGUCCUUGGGCUUUCUGCCCGAGCUGGUGCCGCCGCAUACGGAGCUUGCAGGCCCAGGGGGCACUCGCACAGCCAGAGGCUUAGCGAACGCGAGCGUGGCGUUGGCGCCGAAGCCGUGCCUUUGACGUUCGCCACGGCGAUCCAGCGUGUCUGUGUUCGCGGGCGACCUACAGCGGACCGCCAUCAGUGAGCACACUGACGCUGGGAUCGAGCCGCAGCAAGUGCACGCUUUCGUUGGCGCUGGCAGCUGGGCUGCCAACAGAGCAGCAGCGCCAGCCCCAGCUCCAGCAGCGGGUCUUUCCGGGUUCAAUGCAGCCCCGGCAGCUUAGGGGAGCACGCUGAUACCGAGCACUCCCUUGAUUGCACUCGUCUCAGCCCAACGAACGACUGACGUGGCCCUUACAUGGCUGCCUCCACCGCUCUGCCUGCCCUGCCUCACAGCCCUGGCGCUGACGUUCUCGUGGAAGAUCGGCGUGGUGCCCGGCAACAUCUUCGCGGCGCUGCUGAAUGACCGCCUGGUGGCCAAGGGCACGGUCCUGGAGGUCAUGAUUGUGUUCUUCCAGGUGCGGGCGGGGGCAGGGCGGGCGGCAGGGUGGGCCGGAUACCGACCGGUAAUCCUGCCUGGCGGUGCUGUCAAACAUCCAGGCGGAUGGGUGGCCUAAGAAGCAUCACCCGCCAUCGCAUGGUCGUCAUCGCGCCCCCCCACACCCAACCGCCUUCCGCGUCCCUCCACCCCACCCGCAGGAGUUCCUGGCCAAGGACACCACGCUGGACGACCUGGUGUCCAUCCUGGCCAAGGCCAACAUCGCCAACCGCCUGAUGGACUUCGCGCCGCCCAACAAGCGCACGCCGCACGAGUAUCACCUGGUGCUCAAGGUGCGGCACGGGGCGGGACGGCACGCGUGCGGCUGUGGGUCGGGCGGGGUUCAAGCAGGCGCCGCAGCCUGCGGGCCAAACGAUACCGUAUGGCGCGCCGCUCGUCGGGAGGGUGGCGAGGUUGGCCAGCAAAUGCGCUGUUCCACGGCCCCGUCACUGCCUCCACAUGAUCUGACCUUGCAUCCUAUUUAUACUCGUGCGCUUGCAGGCCGCUGGCCUGAACUCGCUGGUGGAGUGGGACGUGCAGCGCGAGAUUGACUUGCGCGUCAGCGAGCUGCAGGACGCGCUGACGGAGGCCAUCGCCGCCGACCCGCCGCUGGCGGUGUCCGAGGUGCUCAACAUCGCCAAGUCCAAGAAGCAGGAGAGCAACCUGCCCGACGGCGAGGUGGGAAGGGGGGGGCACGGGUGGGGCGGGCACCAGGGGGCGCGUGGGCAAGUUGCGUGAGCGGUAGCUGCCACACAAAGCUUGGCUGGAUGUCUGUCCCUACUGUUGUCUGGCAUGAGAACGAGAGCGGGCAUUGACGGUCACACGCCUGGAUGAAUGGACGCAGGUGCUGCGCGUGUCGUGGCUGGCGCUGAUGAAGUCCAUCAACCUGACGGGCAAGAACCAGCAGCAGAUCACGCAGGCCCUGAUGCAGAAGCUCAAGUCGCACGGCAAGCUGUUUGCGACCUUCGCCACCAACGCCAAGGCGGAGCUGGCGCUGCUGAACACCAUCCAGGUGUGCCCGACAGCACUGGCAUCGGAGCAAGACCCGCAACGCGAUGCAUGGCAGCGGGGAUGUGCGUUUGCGUGUAAGGCUCCAGAAGCCCGCACCUCGCACCGCACCGGAAGCCUAGGACACCGCGCACUUUUCGGAGGCUGCGGCGGCGAUCGAACAAUGCACCGGCGCUGCUCACCCGCCCUGAUCACUCACAUCCUCUUUGUGUUCACAGGUGUUCUGCUACGAGGACACGCGCAUGCUCAAGUGCUUCACCGAUAUCAUGAAGCUGCUGUACAACGCGGAGAUUGUGGGCGAGGACACCAUCCAGCACUGGUACAAGAAGGGCAGCCACACCAAGGGACGCGCCGUGUUCCUGAAGGACAUCGAGCCCUUCAUGAAGUGGCUGGAGGAGGCGGAGGAGGACGACGAGUAGAGCGAGCGCGCCGACGUGCAGGCGGCCGCUAGGUGGCGUGGCGGCGGGCGGGUCCGGACAGGCGGCGUCCUGGGCCGCGGUACCUACGGGCAGCCCCUUACGGUGCACAGCAGUUGUUGAGAUAUCGGUCAGAACUAUCCAUAAGGGAGAACGUAGGGGAGUUCCGAGAGUGUGUGUGCGAUACACCAUGCAAGGACCUGACCCGGAACCCAUGCGAGGGUAUAAGCCAGAGAGCUACCCGUUAUAGUUAAGUAGUGUGGUACUAUGUAAUGUGCGAAACAGUCUGACUGUCAGCCGCCCCUACUUCCGGCUAGCGAUAGUCGUAAUCACCAUUCAACAGGUUAUGAGCCCCGCGUAGUUGCGGCGGGUUGCGCUUUGUCGAGUAAAGACAAGAUAACCGAUAGGCUGUAGGCCAGUGAGCGCAAAUGAACGAUGAGGGCGGAGUCUGUGGAAAGCCGAUUAUGCUCGAGCAAAGCACGGCCCACAUUUGGCUCUCCAAGUUAAGGAUUUAUCUUAACUGGAAGGAGCUGGGUCCGGCUAUCCGUGACGACGACGCGCCGGAGGCGAAGCAGCAGAAGGCGGUCGCCCUUAUCCUGAGCCAUGUGAGGCUGUCCGACCACUUCAUCUAUGAGGAGCUGCUAGAGACCCUGGAAGCGGAGAAGAAGGCCAACCCUACUGCCAAGCAGAACGAGGCGAAGCGCCUUGUGCAAGCGCUGAUGGCAUACUACAAGAAGCUGGCGGCUGGAAAUCACCGUCAGUGGGCAGCCGACCUGGGCAGCGUCAGGCUGGGAGGGAGCGAGCAGAUUAGCGAGCUCAUCCAGCGCAUUGCUGACAUGGUGGAGAGGCUGUGUUGGUCGGGAUGCCCGGGCUACACCAACGGCGACCGCGACAGGCUCGUCGUGUCGGCAGCAUUCAAUGCUCUGCCGCAGGAGUAUGCCAGCGUUGUGGCCAUUGCAGAGGAGUUCUACACGAGCACUGGCAGGUGGAGCGUGCCGGACGCGGAGUCGAGGCUCACGCGGUUCCAGAACACCCUGACCAGCGUGCGCGGUAGCAGCAGCAGUGGCGAGCCGUCAAUUCACUUUGUGCGCGGCGUGGGAGGCGGCCGUGGUGGCCGCGGAGGGCGCGGUGUGCGCAACAAGGAGAACAUCCAGUGCCACAGGUGCCAGGGCUGGGGACACUACAAGUACGAGUGCCCAGAGCAGGCCGCUGAGGGCGGCGGUGGCAACCGGGGGCGCGGUGCACACGUUGGCCGGGACGGCGGUGACCGGCGCAUGUGGGCGGUGAACGUGGACCAGGGAAACGGCCGGGGGCGCGGCCGGGGGGUCCGCGCCUAGUAGCGUUCGUAGGAGCAGAAGAUAUGAUGUGGAGCAUAGACUAUGAUGCUAGCUCCGAUGUGAUGUGAACGGCCACGUUGGGCUGUCGGUGCGAGUAAAGCAUCGUGAGUAUGUCGGUGCGAGUAAAGCAUCGUGAGUAUGUCGGUGCAAGGAAGGCAUCGUGAGUACGAUAUGCGUGCGAGUAUGACACGCGGUGUGAGUGAAGCACCAGUAUGAGACGUGCAAGUGAAGCACGGGGUGUGAGUUAAGCACCUGGAGAUGUACGAGAGCAAAUGCAACGGAAUUGGCUUUGCGACUGUUGCACGAGUGAGGUGCACAGGUAUGUUAUGUGGCGCGUGAGGCCUGAUUACUGCGGUAUGGCCUGAUCACAGCGAGUGAGGUCUGAUCACUGCGAGUGAGACCUGAUCACUGCGCGAGACGCCAGCGGUUGAGAGUUGCUGUUAUGCUCUUAUCAUAUGAUGUUAAAAGAUCAUCUUAUGUGUAUGGCUCUCAAGCACUUG